UGCAAAAAUAACGAAGAAAUAAGCAGUAAGACGAAAAGAAAGAGGAAAUGAUAAGCGGUAUAUAAAAGAGACGUAUAGAACCACGACGGGUGCAACGUGACCGAGAAACCACGUGAUCGAAUUGACCAAUUGCAAUGUACGCGAGGACACUGUCACGUUGCAUUCGGCGUGGCUCCGCGUUCCCCUUGCUCUUACAGCCUAUCAUUCCUUCUCUAUUUCUGCUGGACAAGUUGUACAUUGGCAUAUGCGAGCAACUGUUCCUUGUGCGACGUGUCCCAUAGCAAUUUGUUGCAAAUUUCACGAGUUUAUUCUUUUCUUGUAAAGGCUAGAAAAGUUUUGUUGUCCGAAACAAGUGCAUCAAGUUUUGUCGCUCGUAAUAACAAACCUCCACAGUGCGUUCCUAUGUGCGAUCCGAUGCAUUGUAAUUCUCGGGUGAUCGUUUCAUGAUUUGAACGUAUAAAACAUUGAAUCAAGUGUGCGUAUAUGCGCGCGUGUAUGUGUGUGGUGCUUCCUCAAAUUCCGAUAAGCUUAUCCAAUACAUCGAAAAGCCAACAACAAGUAAUAAUAUCGCAUUCGGAUAUAUUAAAAUGUUCGCGCUUUCACACGACUAAAAUAUUCUCCGGUAUCGUCCAUCGAGCUUUUGUGCUCACCUUUUUCAUUGUCUUGCUCCACUGUGAUAACUUCCAUUUGACAUACAAGCGGAAGAACUAUCAAGCUCUGAGAAUAAAAAAUUUAAAAGACUCUAGAAACGUAAUUGAAGUAUAACAAAAGGGAGAGCGAGAGAGAGGGAGAGAGAAAGGCAAAAGGAAGCAAGAAUUUUGGUGAAAUGGACAUAACGUGUGCGUAUGCGUGGGUGCACAUAUGAACGCGCGCGCCUACGCGCGCAUGUGUUUGCAUGUGCGCGUAUGCGUAUGUAUGCGAAAACAAA
Molecule: long non-coding RNA, 928 nt
Organism: Eufriesea mexicana
Lineage: Eukaryota; Metazoa; Arthropoda; Insecta; Hymenoptera; Apidae
Exons: 2
Source: RefSeq, a predicted model, not a curated record